CGUGUGAUGUGUGCGCUCAUGCUCCUGAUCACGGAAGCCAUACGCUCCAGGAGCUCCAGCCAUGCUUCUGACAGGCGUCUGCUGAUCAGUAAAAUUGCGAUAAAACAAUCUGCAAAAAUUGACGAGGACGGUCUAGACACGAAGACGUAUGGAUGGCGUCCGCGCCUCCUCCGGAACCAACUGCACGACAUUGAGGGACGCUUCCAAAGGCAGUCGCGUGGUAUGCGUCCUUAUAAAAUAUUAGUAGGUUAAAUGUCGGAAACUUUAUGGAUAAUUUUUCUACUAUGCGCACGUGCUAACAUUACUGGCUCAACAUCAUAGGUCGACAUCGUGUUACGAGGCAUGUCCUGCUUAUUGGGUUGUACUUCAUAGCUGCGAAAGCCCCUGGUAUUUAUGGCAUUGAAGGUCUCUGCUUCGCUGCCAGUGUGGAUGGUGGUCCAUUGGAUCACCUCUCUCAGCUACUCCUUCCAAGGACGUGUUUGCUCUGCCUGCUUGUUGUUAAUUCUCGGGCUUCGGGCUUUUUAUGAAUGAGCCUAUUGUUAUGCGCACAUGUUAACAUCUUUUGGCUCAAUAUCAUACGUAGACAUCGUUUCACGAGGCAUGUCCUGCUUGUUGGGUUGUGCUUCAUAGCUGGGUAAGCCCCUGGUAUUUAUGGCAUGGAAGAUCUCCGGCGCGCUGCAAGUGUGGAUGGUGAUCCAUUGGAUCACCGCUCUCAACGUGCAUUUUAUCUUCGACCGCCCCACAGUCGCAUCUGCAGAUGCUUGAAUCAAGGUGUUUAGACGCAGUAUCCCUGCUUAAACUCUUCGUAUGGCACGAUAUUGCAGAAAUGGCCAGGAUGCGCAGCUUCGUCAGCCUGCUUUUUAUGUUUCAAGUUUUACUUCGUUUGAUCAUAUACCCGCUGUAGAAUUGCAUUGGUUUUUUUUACGCACUUGCAUUGCCAUCGCCUCGCGCCUGUAUGGCACUGUGUGUUUCCGUGUCACGGCACCCUUCUAUUAGGAUUGGGCCCCCCAGCCAAAAUUAACGUUUUACCGAAUCAGUCACACGAUAACAGCUCCACGAUAAGGAUUACGACACGACCAAGAGGAUUCGGAUUGGGACCCCAGCCUCAGAGUUAGGAUUACGGUCCGGCCCCAGGAUUAGGAUUGGGACCCCCCCCAGGAUUGGGAUUGGGACCCGGCCACANNNNNNNNNNNNNNNNNNNNNNNNNNNNNNNNNNNNNNNNNNNNNNNNNNUGACUCAGCUUCGUCGUACCAUGCUGGUUAUCACCUGUGUGAUGUUGUGGCUGCGAUAGGCAGGCGUCGUUCUGCAGGUUUAACCGGACCUGUCGAGUUCUGGUACGACCCUCCGGUAUCUGCUUCUGAUGCUGACGUCGCUCCCUUACCUUUCUCCGUUUCGGAAGGUUUGACUAUGCAAUUUCGAGGUAAAGUGUGUCAGUCCGACGCUUCCAUCCUCAUCGAUAGCGGAAGCAUGCCUUCAGCCCUUUUAAGUGCAGGUUUUGCUCGUCGCGUCGGUUUGGCGGUUCAACCGUCGGACAACGCACAUCCCGCUCUCACCGUCACUUUGGGUGAUGGUCGGACUACGACUUCGGUAGGGUUUGCUGAGGUACCUAUUCGCUUGCAGGGUUACAAAGCUAGGUUGCAGUGUGCCGUGCUUGAUCUCGCUCCUGGUUAUGACUUGGUGCAGAGGGAUGCAAAGAUUAGGGAUUGGGUUCGGGUACCGGUCAGGCAGGAAUUAGGAUUAGGAAUGAGGGGCAGGAUUAGGAUACAAAGUUGAGGCCAGGUUUAGGAUGAGGACCCGAGUGUAGGAUUAGGAUUGGGACCCGGCCCCAGGAUUAGGAUUGCGACCCGGCCCCAGGAUUAGGAUUGGGACCCGGCCCCAGGAUUAGGAUAAAUACCUAUAUCCAGGAUUACGAUUAGUACACUGGUAUUGGAUUAAGAUUAGGGCACCGCAAUAAUUGGCAAUUAGGAUACUGCUAUGUAAGAGGACUAUCAAAUCCAGCUACCGUUCAGACUGGGUUAGAAAGUUGCUAUGCCAUGUCAUACUAAGUGAUGUCGCGUGUGAUGUGUGCGCUCAUGCUCCUGAUCACGGAAGCCAUACGCUCCAGGAGCUCCAGCCAUGCUUCUGACAGGCGUCUGCUGAUCAGUAAAAUUGCGAUAAAACAAUCUGCAAAAAUUGACGAGGACGGUCUAGACACGAAGACGUAUGGAUGGCGUCCGCGCCUCCUCCGGAACCAACUGCACGACAUUGAGGGACGCUUCCAAAGGCAGUCGCGUGGUAUGCGUCCUUAUAAAAUAUUAGUAGGUUAAAUGUCGGAAACUUUAUGGAUAAUUUUUCUACUAUGCGCACGUGCUAACAUUACUGGCUCAACAUCAUAGGUCGACAUCGUGUUACGAGGCAUGUCCUGCUUAUUGGGUUGUACUUCAUAGCUGCGAAAGCCCCUGGUAUUUAUGGCAUUGAAGGUCUCUGCUUCGCUGCCAGUGUGGAUGGUGGUCCAUUGGAUCACCUCUCUCAGCUACUCCUUCCAAGGACGUGUUUGCUCUGCCUGCUUGUUGUUAAUUCUCGGGCUUCGGGCUUUUUAUGAAUGAGCCUAUUGUUAUGCGCACAUGUUAACAUCUUUUGGCUCAAUAUCAUACGUAGACAUCGUUUCACGAGGCAUGUCCUGCUUGUUGGGUUGUGCUUCAUAGCUGGGUAAGCCCCUGGUAUUUAUGGCAUGGAAGAUCUCCGGCGCGCUGCAAGUGUGGAUGGUGAUCCAUUGGAUCACCGCUCUCAACGUGCAUUUUAUCUUCGACCGCCCCACAGUCGCAUCUGCAGAUGCUUGAAUCAAGGUGUUUAGACGCAGUAUCCCUGCUUAAACUCUUCGUAUGGCACGAUAUUGCAGAAAUGGCCAGGAUGCGCAGCUUCGUCAGCCUGCUUUUUAUGUUUCAAGUUUUACUUCGUUUGAUCAUAUACCCGCUGUAGAAUUGCAUUGGUUUUUUUUACGCACUUGCAUUGCCAUCGCCUCGCGCCUGUAUGGCACUGUGUGUUUCCGUGUCACGGCACCCUUCUAUUAGGAUUGGGCCCCCCAGCCAAAAUUAACGUUUU
RNAcentral lists this long non-coding RNA (3081 nucleotides) under Volvox carteri. RNAcentral describes it as "long non-coding RNA (VCAR_LNC002843)". The record is from RNAcentral. Lineage: Eukaryota; Viridiplantae; Chlorophyta; Chlorophyceae; Chlamydomonadales; Volvocaceae.